This is a long non-coding RNA of Triticum aestivum (bread wheat), 1073 nucleotides long. RefSeq lists it as uncharacterized. The record is from RefSeq and is a predicted model, not a curated record. NCBI's taxonomy places the organism in Eukaryota, Viridiplantae, Streptophyta, Magnoliopsida, Poales, Poaceae. The transcript is spliced from 3 exons.
CCGUCCCCACCCACGAAUGAAUCGGUUUCUCCGCAUAGCCGCCGCACAUCCCGCUCGUAGACGGGUAGCUCGGUGCGCCGUUUGGAUCAUCCCCACGCGGCGACCCCGAUCCAGAAGAGAAGCGGCAGUCCGCGACCUUGUUGUCACUCCUACCGCCAAGGUUCCGGCCGGUCGUGGCGGGCCCUACGUCGUGGCGCAUCCAAUCCGCGUGCCGGCCGGCCCUGUAUGCCGUCAUCGGGAACUUCGUCGCCAAGGCGUGGAACGGCUCCGGCCUCUUCCCUGACCCCUGCGGCCAGACCGCCAUCCAGGAAUUAAUCAAUCCCCAGUUCAGUUCCUGCUCUACAUUUUCAUGUUUUGGGAUUCAGUAUAAAUCGUUGCUCACAAGGAUUGCUUGCACGUCUAAUUAAUGGAACUGCUGCUCUACACCGGACGUCGGAUACCCUACUGCCUUAGUCAGCGCCGCCGGCGACCUUCCCGCACACUAAAGGAUGAUGGAAACAGUCCCGAUUGUGUGGGCAUAUGCAUAUGAUUCGUGUACAUAACAGUCUGAACUGGCCUUGCCAUCGAUCUAAUCUACAAUUUUUGUAUCAUGCGCUGUUAGGUACUGCUAUUUUUGUGGUAGUAUUAUUUUCUGCAAGUAUUCCAUUCUCUGUAACAAAUUCUGCUAGUGAUUACAGUUUACUUGCCAUGAAGCCUGAUCAGUGCAUCUAUAUCCUUCAUAUAAUAGCUUAUUUAAUCAUGCUUUCUACAAAUUUUAGUGCUCAAAGAUAAUAAGACUGGACCAUGAAAGUGGGUAGAGAGCAAAUGAAAUUUUGCCAUCAGAAUGUGAUACUUCAGUACAAACGUCCUUUAAUGCUGUUUGCUGUUCUUAGGGAAUGGGGAUCUAUCUUUCGUUCAAAAUAUCUACUCAUAUUGAUUUUUAUUGAGUGGAACUUAGUAGAGUUGGACUUCACGGAUUUACAAGGUUGCAAGUGUCUUUUUAUUCUAGCAAAGUUGCUGCCUCAUUUAUUUAGGAAAAUGUUACUAAUAGUUCUGACCAAAAGUAGGACUAAUGUUCUGUGAUUGUGGGUGUC